Molecule: ribosomal RNA, 716 nt
Filed under: uncultured bacterium
Lineage: Bacteria
Description: bacterial SSU rRNA
Rfam family: Bacterial small subunit ribosomal RNA
Source: RNAcentral
CACUUCGAGGGGCUCGCGGCCUAUCAGCUAGUUGGUGAGGUAACGGCUCACCAAGGCAACGACGGGUAGCUGGUCUGAGAGGAUGGCCAGCCACAUUGGGACUGAGAUACGGCCCAGACUCCUACGGGAGGCAGCAGUGGGGAAUCUUGCGCUAAUGCGGGAAACCGUGACGCAGCGACGCCGCGUGAGGGAAGAAGGCCUUCGGGUUGUAAACCUCUUUCAGGAGGGACGAAGCCACUCGGGUUAAUAGCCCAGAGGGUGACGGUACCUCCAGAAGAAGCCCCGGCUAACUACGUGCCAGCAGCCGCGGUAAUACGUAGGGGGCAAGCGUUGUCCGGAUUUAUUGGGCGUAAAGAGCGUGUAGGCGGCUAGAUAGGUCCGUUGUGAAAACUCGAGGCUCAACCUCGAGACGUCGAUGGAAACCAUCUGGCUAGAGUCCGGAAGAGGAGAGUGGAAUUCCUGGUGUAGCGGUGAAAUGCGCAGAUAUCAGGAAGAACACCCGUGGCGAAGGCGGCUCUCUGGUACGUGACUGACGCUGAGACGCGAAAGCGUGGGGAGCAAACAGGAUUAGAUACCCUGGUAGUCCACGCCGUAAACGAUGGGUGCUAGGUGUGGGGGGUGUCAACUCCCUCCGUGCCGAAGCUAACGCAUUAAGCACCCCGCCUGGGGAGUACGGCCGCAGGGCUAAAACUCAAAGGAAUUGACGGAAUCGAAUU